Long non-coding RNA from Xenopus tropicalis (tropical clawed frog), 411 nucleotides. RefSeq lists it as uncharacterized. The transcript is spliced from 2 exons. The record is from RefSeq and is a predicted model, not a curated record. Lineage: Eukaryota; Metazoa; Chordata; Amphibia; Anura; Pipidae.
UGUUUCCAUGUAUCUGUAACCUGGACCUCAAAGAGAGUUUAGUUGAAAUAUUUUCUGUGUGUUUUGUACGGGUGAUAGCAUUAAAUCCUCCUGAAUCCUCUUGUUUCAGGCUCCUGUAUAUAUUUUCAGUUGUGUGGAAGAAAGGACAGCGCAAAGACCCUAUGCCUAAUCCUAAAACCAGCCUUGGGGGAUUCUCCUCUUCAGAGAAAUCUGUUCCGGUACCAGUGCACGGCACCUAGAGCCCCGAUGAAGUACAUACUGGUGACGGGAGGGAUCAUCUCUGGAGUGGGCAAAGGGAUCAUUGCAAGUAGCGUCGGUACCAUCCUGAAGCCCUGCGCCUGCGAGUGACUGCUAAUAAGAUCAACCCCUGUAUUAAUAUCAAUGCUGAACUUUCCCUCCCUAUGAGCAUGG